CGGAAUAUAGCGCAGUCCGGUAGCGCACUUGCCUUGGGAGCAAGGGGCCGCAAGUUCGAAUCUUGCUAUUCCGACCA
RNAcentral lists this transfer RNA (77 nucleotides) under Fusobacterium perfoetens. RNAcentral's name for it is "tRNA-Pro". It matches the Rfam family "tRNA". From Rfam's summary of the family: Transfer RNA (tRNA) molecules are approximately 80 nucleotides in length. Lineage: Bacteria; Fusobacteriati; Fusobacteriota; Fusobacteriia; Fusobacteriales; Fusobacteriaceae. The record is from RNAcentral. RNAcentral also lists the same sequence under 8 other names.